UUGGUCAAUGGACGCAAGUCUGAACCAGCCAUGCCGCGUGAAGGAUGAAGGUCCUCUGGAUUGUAAACUUCUUUUAUCUGGGACGAAAACGGGAUUUUUAUCUCAAUUGACGGUACCGGAGGAAUAAGCACCGGCUAACUCCGUGCCAGCAGCCGCGGUAAUACGGAGGGUGCGAGCGUUAUCCGGAUUUACUGGGUUUAAAGGGUGCGUAGGUGGGCUUAUAAGUCAGUGGUGAAAGCCUGCAGCUUAACUGCAGAAGUGCAAUUGAUACUGUUAGUCUUGAGUACAGUUGAGGUAGGCGGAAUGUGUCAUGUAGCGGUGAAAUGCUUAGAUAUGACGCAGAACACCGAUUGCGAAGGCAGCUUGCUAAUCUGUAACUGACGCUGAGGCACGAAAGCGUGGGGA
Molecule: ribosomal RNA, 405 nt
Filed under: uncultured bacterium
Lineage: Bacteria
Description: bacterial SSU rRNA
Rfam family: Bacterial small subunit ribosomal RNA
Source: RNAcentral